AUUGAACGCUGGCGGCAGGCCUAACACAUGCAAGUCGAGCGGAUGAAUGGAGCUUGCUCCUGGAUUCAGCGGCGGACGGGUGAGUAAUGCCUAGGAAUCUGCCUGGUAGUGGGGGAUAACGUCCGGAAACGGGCGCUAAUACCGCAUACGUCCUGUGGGCGAAAGUGGGGGAGCUUCGGACCUCACGCUAUCAGAUGAGCCUAGGUCGGAUUAGCUAGUUGGUGGGGUAAAGGCCUACCAAGGCGACGAUCCGUAACUGGUCUGAGAGGAUGAUCAGUCACACUGGAACUGAGACACGGUCCAGACACCUACGGGAGGCAGCAGUGGGGAAUAUUGGACGAUGGGCGAAAGCCUGAUCCAGCCAUGCCGCGUGUGUGAAGAAGGUCUUCGGAUUGGAAAGCACUUUAAGUUGGGAGGAAGGGCAGUUAUUUAAUACCUUACUGUUUUGACGGUACCAGCAGAAUAAGCACCGGCUAACUUCGUG
RNAcentral lists this ribosomal RNA (484 nucleotides) under uncultured bacterium. RNAcentral's name for it is "partial 16S ribosomal RNA". It matches the Rfam family "Bacterial small subunit ribosomal RNA", at positions 30 to 507 of the family's 1533-position model. The record is from RNAcentral.